ACUAUGAUGUGUAGCUGGACUGAGAGGUUGAACAGCCACAUUGGGACUGAGACACGGCCCAAACUCCUACGGGAGGCAGCAGUAGGGAAUUUUCGGCAAUGGAGGAAACUCUGACCGAGCAACGCCGCGUGAACGAUGAAGUACCUCGGUAUGUAAAGUUCUUUUAUUAAGGAAGAAAAAAGAGUGGAAAAACUCCCUUGACGGUACUUAAUGAAUAAGCCCCGGCUAAUUAUGUGCCAGCAGCCGCGGUAAUACAUAAGGGGCGAGCGUUAUCCGGAAUUAUUGGGCGUAAAGGGUGCGUAGGCGGUUUAAUAAGUCUAUAGUUUAAUUUCAGUGCUUAACGCUGUUGUGCUAUAGAAACUGUUUUACUAGAGUGAGUUAGAGGCAAGCGGAAUUCCAUGUGUAGCGGUAAAAUGCGUAAAUAUAUGGAGGAACACCAGAGGCGUAGGCGGCUUGCUGGGACUUUACUGACGCUGAGGCACGAAAGCGUGGGGAGCAAACAGGAUUAGAUACCCUGGUAGUCCACACCGUAAACGAUGAGUACUAAGUGUCGGGUAAAACCGGUACUGAAGUUAACACAUUAAGUACUCCGCCUGAGUAGUACGUACGCAAGUAUGAAACUUAAAGGAAUUGACGGGACUCCGCACAAGCGGUGGAUCAUGUUGUUUAAUUCGAAGAUACACGAAAAACCUUACCAGGUCUUGACAUUUUCUUGCGAAGUUAUAGAAAUAUAAUGGAGGUUAUCAGGAAAACAGGUGGUGCAUGGUUGUCGUCAGCUCGUGUCGUGAGAUGUUAGGUUAAGUCCUAAAACGAGCGCAACCCUUGUCGUUAAUUGCCAGCAUGUAAUGAUGGGGACUUUAACGAGACUGCCAAUGAAAAAUUGGAGGAAGGUGGGGAUUACGUCAAAUCAUCAUGCCCCUUAUGAUCUGGGCUACAAACGUGAUACAAUGGUUGAUACAAAGAGUAGCUGAAACGCGAGUUCUUAGCCAAUCUCACAAAAUCAU
This 1004-nucleotide ribosomal RNA is filed under the name Cassava frogskin disease phytoplasma. RNAcentral describes it as "bacterial SSU rRNA". It matches the Rfam family "Bacterial small subunit ribosomal RNA", at positions 273 to 1285 of the family's 1533-position model. The record is from RNAcentral. Lineage: Bacteria; Bacillati; Mycoplasmatota; Mollicutes; Acholeplasmatales; Acholeplasmataceae.